UCCCUCCCUCACGCGCUCAGAUCCGCCCACCCUCCCUCACUCUUCGCGCUCAGAUCCGCCCGCCCUCCCUCACUCUUCGCACUGGAAACCCUAGACGCCGGGCCAUGGUGACAGACGGCGACGACGACGACGGUGGCUACCUCGACGACGCCGGUGCGGCCAGCAGCAGAAGCACCACCAUGGACUCCCUUCCUCCAACCCUAGCCGUCCGGCCAUGUUGGCGGCGGCCAGAUCCGCGCCAGGAUAGGACCUACUUGUGCUCGUGAGGAGAGGCACGCCAUGGAGCAGCUCGUCAAGGACAGAUAUGCAUCCAUGGUGAAGUUACUAUAUAAGUAUAGGGUCAAGCACUGCCCCGACAUACAUCCUAUUUUGAGUUUUUCCUCAAAGUCCCAUGGCCGUGUUGCUGGUAGAGUUGGAAGCACCGCCCUUGAUUUUGAAAUUGGAGAAGGAAGACGGAGAGUUCAGUACAGUAAGGAUGCUCUAUAAUAUAGGAAUCCAGCUGAAUAUUCUUGCUUCUAAGGUCUCCUGUGUUGGAUGUGUUCUCAGUUUGCCUCUUUAUUUCCCUCUUUAUUUCUCCUUUUGCCUCUGCACUACUGCCAAAACUUCAUUUAUUUAUCUCCUUGAGUGAAAUAAUAAUAGAAGAUAGUAUUAACUACUGAUUCAAGCAGUAAUGGGUAUGAAGCAAAUGGCUCUUGCAUAUGUUCACUGUUUAUCCAAUACAGAAACCAGAAUAUGAAUUGUUAUGAGAAAAUUGCAGUUGAUUCUAUUUGAUAACAUGCAGCAACCAUGGAUUCAAGUUCAUGUAAUCUUGGCUACUUUUCAUCUCAUGCAACAGUUUCACUAGUUUGUGUACGAUUUGUGUUGCAUGUUAUUACAUAACCAGUUAUCUUAAUAUUCUUUUUGUUUUACUAUUUUGGAAGUUUUUUCUUUGGGCCUCUGAUUUCUCAAGAUUUAGAUGAUAAGGGGGUGUCUUAUUCAGAGUGUCAAGUUCUUGACAAGUUUAUUUGUUUGACAUAAAAAAAUGGCUUUAGUACGAUGAAUUUCAAAGUCUGAACCUUUUUCCUUUUUGGUUAAUUGUUGUGGGUGGGCGCUGUCCAUGAACAAAAUAGACAAGGACGAUGAGCAGUACACGACCCCACGGCCGAGCCGACGAUCAACCACCAGUGGGCAUGUGAAUAAGGGAUGGAGCAGCAACGAUGAUUGGUUGCACGGAGCUACAGUCAACCUGAUGUGGUGUUUUAAUCUCCUCGACAUAGCGAGUAGUUGUGUGUGGUUUCCUUUCCAGUAGCAUAGUUGGACUUUAGCAUGUGUGUGUAGAGCUGAUGGUCGUGAGGCUAAUUCCUGGAGUAGUACAUGACUUGAAGAUGCCCAGCUAGAUGUGAUACUUUGUGAUGGUUUAGUCUACUUUGUGAUCUCAUAUGCAACACUUUGUGACACCCUAUGAUAUAUAU
Triticum aestivum (bread wheat) is the source of this 1451-nucleotide long non-coding RNA. RefSeq lists it as uncharacterized. Lineage: Eukaryota; Viridiplantae; Streptophyta; Magnoliopsida; Poales; Poaceae. The record is from RefSeq and is a predicted model, not a curated record. The transcript is spliced from 5 exons.